Molecule: long non-coding RNA, 579 nt
Organism: Eurytemora carolleeae
Lineage: Eukaryota; Metazoa; Arthropoda; Copepoda; Calanoida; Temoridae
Exons: 4
Source: RefSeq, a predicted model, not a curated record
CAGAACCUGAGUUUUAUGGUUAAAAUGUUUUAUGAUUUAACAUAUAUGUAUAAUAUUUAGCCAAAACAUAUAUAUUGUCUCGCCAAAGCCUAAUUAAAAAUCUAGCCUAAGCCUCAAAAAACUGUAAAUAAUGAGUUUUAUCUUUCAGAACACAAUGGGUUAGUUGCCCCCUUCUAACCUGAAAUUGUGUCUCUUUCUCCAGAUAAUUGUGAUUGUUGUGAUUCCUCUAAAUAGUUCCGGGCUCGUAUCCGUGCUUUAAACCAGGCUGGCACGAGUCCCGUUGAUAUACAACCUCGACUUGCUCCGCUGACUCGCGGAGAAGUUCUUAACUCCUGAGAUGGUUCCUUCUCUUCUACUCUGAGAUGGUUCAGUUCUCUUCUACGUUCCUUCUUUUCUACUCUGAGAUGGUUCAGUUCUCUUCUACUCCCACCUACUAAUCUUGACAUCCUGAGUCUAAGGAAGUCUAUAUAAAGACCUCCGUUGUCAAGACUCCGACAUCACCGGAAGCUGAGUCAUCCUUGUUCUCUGGAUCCUCAGCUUGUGCUCCAGAAUAUCCUGCUGGUGCUCUAGAGACCCAUA